Molecule: long non-coding RNA, 2291 nt
Filed under: Eufriesea mexicana
Lineage: Eukaryota; Metazoa; Arthropoda; Insecta; Hymenoptera; Apidae
Description: uncharacterized LOC108551347
Source: RNAcentral
UUCCGGUUUUGUUUGAAUAAAAAUUGUAUAGUUAAUGCAACAGCAUAUGUAAAUAGAGAAUACUGCAACAUUUCAUCUAAUGCACCCGAACAUUCGCAUUCGUUGUUUACAGAAGGUUAGAAAAGGAAAUAUUCAAAGGAAAUUUUUGUUCGUGUUCCUAUACAUUUUUCUCUAAUUUUAUUCAGCGUUUCAUCGCGAAAUAAAAGACAAAGAGGAUGAGUUUCCGGUCUUCCAUCAGAUUUUCUUUCGUUAAAUAUGAACGAAAGCUAACCGAGUAAUGACAGGUUGAGAUUCUGCGCAUUUUAAAGCAAUUUUGUUCGAAUUUUCGGUGCGUUUGCCCACUGUGCGUCGCAACGAUACCAGAGAUUUUUGUACCGAAAUCUCCGAGUCGAAGAAAGCACAUGGCCUUGCGUGUAGCGCGAUAAAAAUACGCAAAAAGAAACCACAAAAAAAGGAAAAAAAAAAGCAGAAGGGAGCGAAGAGAACGUAGAACCUCCAGGAGGCCUUACACGAGAGCCUCUCGAAUCAACGCCUUCAAGCUAACGUAACACGAUACGUCAGUUCGCAGAAUCACUUUUUAGCGAGUGAACAGUUGAGAGCGAUUUGAAUUUGAGCGGAACACAAAGAUUUUGUGGCAAUGGAACCGUGUGAAAAAGGAAAAAAAAAAGAUUUUGUUGAAAUGCUUCUUCGUCGUACCGUCCAAAAUAUUUCGUUUCUCCCAACUUCGAGCGCUCAUUUUUGUAUAGUUUAUGCGACACGUUGGAGUCUAGUAAUGCUGUUGAAAGUUCACCUCGUUCAUUUUUGCGGUCCGCCGAGUGUAUUCGAAUUUUAUAUACAUAUAUAUUGACGGACUCGCAUAACCACGCGAGCGUUUCAUGUUGUUCGAUUAAAUGUUUCUUAAGGCGUAUUAUAAAAUGGAAAACGAGAAAAAGGAAAAAAAAUGAUGAAUUAAGGAUAACGCUAAAUGAUAUAACGUUUAACGUCCGGCCUGUGUUCGUUCUCGUCGAGACAGGGCAGACGAAGAGGGACAAAGCGAAGAGGAAGAACGUAAAAUGAACGUAGCCAGAUGGUGCAAGAGGGAAAAAAGUAUUCGUCUGUAUGCCAGUGUGUGUACGCAUCAAACUAACUGUCGUCUGUACUUAAUCCAUGGUCGUUGUAUUUCAUUCGCCUAAUUGCCUACGCGAGAAGCACUUAAGGGAUAGUUAUUUUUUCGUCGAGUCAAGAAAUUUCGAGAGUGGGGCGCCUGAAACGGUCGUGAACGAGGACAAGCUGUGUAAGAACGCGAUUCUAACCUAUGUUGCCGUAUAGCAUAUACACGGGGAGACCACUAGCGGUAACACGCAUUUAUUAACGCGACACUGGGAUCUCGAAAUCGUGCAAACGCUUGUUAACAGAUUCGCAAGAGAGAUGGCGCACCUGGAACACCUCUGGUUUCUUACAAAACGACGCGUCUUAUACUGGCUGUAACCCUAUUUUUUGCAGACAUAUACAUACGAGCUGUUUUAAUAUGCCAGAAUACCGAGCGAACUAUCCACGAAUGAAAUUUAUAUCGUUCGUCUUGACUUUUAGAAUUGAUCCCUUUUUUCGACAAUGUUUACAGUUAUUGAUCAGGCCGCCCCGUACUCACGACUUAGCGAUAAAUAUACAAAUAUUUAUGCCACGUAUUGACAGUAAUCGUCGGUAUAUAAAGCCGCUAGAUUGUACGGUUGGUUUGGUUUCUAGACAACGUUGUAUGUUGAAUUAUCUAACGCCACCAGUAGUAGAUAGCACAUACCUACAUGAUGUAUCAUCAGCGACGAGUCGGUUUUUGGUUGACGAGUUACACCGUUGCAUUCGCACCGCGAAACACGAGACAUAAACGCAUGGAAUAAACAGCGAAACUCUCUACGGAAAUUCUAACCUCGUAGGGGAUUAACAUCCGAUGGUAAAAGAAACGACGCACACGUCAGAGAACUAUGUUACCGACCGGUAUCGAUUAGGUUAUGUAAUCGUGUUUUUUGGUGUCCUUUGAAACCUGUCCCUUCGAAAUUCUCCAUGAGUUCGUGCAUAUGUCAAAGAGAGUUUCGUAUGAGAAAUCAUUGCAAAGUUUCCUUCGUUUUACGAGAAUGUAUUUUAUCUAAACAGCCAUUCCAUGAAAUAGGGAAAUGAAAGGGAGAGAAGUGCGGAACGUAAUGAAGAGAAAAGGAAGAAAAUGUCACGUUACGAUAAACGUUUCACGGUGAUUAAUUUUUCAUACCUGCACGAACUUUUGAUAUCAAGGAAAGAGUCGCAUCAAUGUGACCCUAUUUAUU